This 5272-nucleotide long non-coding RNA is filed under the name Sus scrofa (pig). RNAcentral's name for it is "lncRNA (ENSSSCG00000056705.1)". Lineage: Eukaryota; Metazoa; Chordata; Mammalia; Artiodactyla; Suidae. The record is from RNAcentral.
UCAGGCUAAGGGUCAAAUCAGAGCUGUAGCUACUAGGCUAUGCUACAGCAACACCAAAUCCAAGCCACAUCUUUGACCUACCAGAUCAAAUGCCAGAUCUGGGACCCACCAAGCAAGGCCAGGGAGCAAGCCCACAUCCUCAUGAAUUCCACUACACAAGAGGAAUUCCUCAUUUUUUAAAGUUUUUUUUGAAGUACACUUGAUUUACAAUGUUGUGAUAACUUAGGCUAUACAACAAAGUGAUUCAGUUAGUAUGCACAUAUCCAUUCUUUUUUAGAGACUUUCGCUAUAUUAAUUAUCACAGAAUAUUGAGUAGAGUUCCCUGUGCUACACAGCAGGUCCCCAUUGGCUUAUCAUUCCAUAUACCACAUUGUGUAUAUGCCAAUCCAAACUCCCCAGUCCAUCCCUCCCUGUCCAGUCUCUCCCCUUUGGUAACCAUAAGUUUGUUUUCAAAGUCUGUGGGUCUGUUUCUGUUGUGCAAAUAAGUUUAUCUGUAUCCUUUUUAAAAUAUUCCACACAUAAGUGAUAGCAUAUGAUAUUUGUCUUUCACUAUCUGAAUUAGUAUGAUAAUUUCUAGGUCCAUCCAUGUUGCUGCAAAUGCCAUUAUUUCAUUCCUUUUUAUGGCUGUGUAAUAUUCCAUGGCAUGUAUGUACUAUAUCUUCUUUAUCCAUUCCUCUGUUGAUGGACAUUUAGGUUGCGGCCAUGUCUUGACUAUUGUAAAUAGUGCUGCAGUGAACAUCAGGGUACAUGUAUCUUUUCAAAUUAUGGUUUUCUCCAGGUCAGUGCCUAGGAUUGAGACUGGUGAAUCAUAUGGUAGUUUAUUUUUAGUUUUUAAAGGAAACUCCAUAGUGGUUUUACCAAUUUAUAUUCACACCAGCAGUGUAAUAGGGUUCCCUUUUCUCCACACCCUUUCCAUUUAUUGUCAUAGACUUUUUGAUGAUGGCUAUUCUAGCUGGUGUAAAGUGGUACCUCAUAGUGGUUUUGAUUUGCAUGUCUCUAAGAAUUAAUGAUGUUGAGCAUCUUUUCAUGUGUUUCAUGGACAUCCAUAUAUGUUCUUUGGAGAAAUGUGCCGAUUUUUGAGUGGAUUGUUUUUUUGAUACUGAGCUGCAUGAGUUGUUGGUUUAUUUUGGAGAUUAAUCUCUUGUCAGUUGCUUCAUGUGAAAUAUUUUCUCCCAUUCUCUGACUCCCAUUCUCUGAGUUGUCUUUUUGUUUAUGGUUUUCUUUGUUGUGCAAAAGAUUCAUGUUGAAUUAGGUCGCAUUUGUUUUAGUUUUUAUUUGCAUUACUCUAGGAGGUGGAUCUGAAAAGAUAUUGCUGUGGUUUAUAUCAGAAAAUGUUUUGCCUAUGUUUUCUCCGAAGAGUUUUAUAGUUUCCAGUUUUAUGUUUAGGUCUUUAAUCUAUAUUGAGUUUAUUUUUGCGUAUGGUGUUAAAGAGUGUUCUGAUUUCAUUCUUUUAUAUAUAGCUGUCCAGUUUUCCCAGCACCACUUAUUGAAGAAACUUUCUUUUCUCCAUUGUAUAUUUUUGACUCCUUUUGACCAAAGGUGUGUAGCUUUAUUUCUGGACUUUCCAUCCUGUUCCAUUGACCUAUAUUUCUGUUUUUGUGCCAGUACCAUACUUUUUGAUGACUCUUACUUUGUAGUAUAGCCUGAGGUCAGGGGGCCUGAUUCCUCCAGCUCUGUUUUUCUUUCUCAAGUUUGGUUUGGAUAUUUGAGGUCUUUUGUGUUUCCAUACAAAUUUAAAAUUUUUUUGUUUUAGUUCUCUGAAAAAUACCAUUGGUAAUUUGAUAGGGAUUGCAUUGAAUCUGUAGAUUGCCUUGGGUAGUAUAGACAUUUUGAAAGUGUUGAUUUUUUAAUUCCAAGAGCAUGGUUUAUCUUUCCAUCUCGGUCAUCUUCAGUUUCUUGCUACAGUGUCUUACAGCUUUCAGAGUAAAAAAUCUUGCCUUUUUAGGUAGGGGUAUUCCUAGAUAUUUUCUUCUUUUUUAUGUGAUGGUGAAUAGGAUCACUUAAUUUCUCUUUUUGAUCUUUCAUUGUUAGUGUAUAGAAAUGUAAGAUAUUUCUGUGUAUUAAUUUGGUAGCCUGCAACUUCGCCAAAUUCAUUGAUGAGCUCUAAUAGUUCUCUGAUAGCAUUUUCAGGAUUUUCUAUGCAUGUCAUCUGAAAACAGCAACAUUGUUACUUCUCUUCCAAUUUGGAUUCCUUUUAUUUCUCUUUCUUCUCUGAUUGCCAUGGCUAGGACUUCGAAAACUAUGUUCAGUGACAGUGGUGAGAGUGGACAUCCUGGUCUUUUUCCUGAUCUUAGUGGAAAUUCCUUCAGCUUUUCACUGCUGAAAAUGAUGUUGCCUGUGGGUUUAUCAUAUAUGGCCUUUAUUAUGUUGAAGUAGGUUCCCUUUGUGUCCACUUUCUGAAGGGUUUUUAUCAUAAAUGGGUGUUGGAUUUUGUUAAAAGCUUUUUCUGUAUCUAGUGAAAUCAUAAGGUUUUUAUUCUUCAAUUUGUUGAUGUAAUAUAUCAUUACUGAUUUGCCAAUGUUGAAGAAUCCUUGCCUCUCUGGGAUAAAUCCCACUUGAUCAGGUUUAUGAUCCUUUUAAUGCAUUUCUGGAUUUGGUUUGCUAGUAUUUUGUUGAGGAUUUUUGCGUCUAUGCUCAUCAGUGAUACCAGACUGUAAUUUUCUUUUUUUGUGAUAGGUUUAUCUGGUUUUGGUAUCAUGGUGAUAGUGGCCUCAUAGAAUGAGUUUGGGAACGUUCCUUCCUCUGAAACUUUUGGAAUAGUUUCGGAAGGAUAGGUGUUAACUCUUCUCUAACAAUCCUUUGCAUUUCUGUGAUGUGUGUUGUAACAUCUCCUUUUUCAUUUAUAUAUAUUUUUUGAUUUGAGCCCUCUCCCUUUUUUCUUGAUGAGUCUGGCUAAGUGUUUAUCAAUUUUUUUCCACAGUACCAGCUUUUAGCUUCAUUGAUAUUUUCUACUCUGUUCAUCUCUAUUUCAUUUAUUUCUGCUCUGAUUUUUAUGAUUUAUUUCCUUUUACUAACUUUGGAUUUUGUUUGUUCUUCUUUCUUAUUUGCUUUAGGUGUAAUGUUUUGGUUGUUUACUUGAGAUUUUCCUUGUUUCCUGAAAAGAAUUUUUAUUUCUAUAAACCUUCCUCUUAGAACCGCUUUUGCUGCAUCCUUUAGGCUUUGGAUCAUUGUAUUUUUGUUUUCAUUUGUCUCUACAUACUGUUUAAUUUUCUGUUUUAUUUCUUCAGUGAUCCAUUGGUUGUUUAGUAGCAUAUUGUUUAGUCUUCCCUUGUUUGUGCUUUUGGUAGUUUUUUUCUUAUAGUUGAUUUCUAGUCUUACCGCAUUGUGGUCAGAAAAAAUGUGUAAUAGGAUUUCAGUUUUCUUAAAUUUACCGAGUCUUACUUUGUGGGCCAGAAUGUGAUCUGUCUUAGAGAAUGUUGCAUGUGUGCUUGAGAAAAAAAUGUGUAUUCUGCUGUUUUUGGAUGGAAUGUUCUAUAAAUUCUAUUAAGUCUUUCUGGUCUGAUGGAUCAUUUAAGGCCUGCAUUUUUUUGGUUGAUUUUAUGUCUGAAUGAUCUGUCCAUUGCUGUAAGUGGGUUGUUAAAGUCCCUCACUAUUAGUGUGUUGUUGUAGAUACUUCCUUUUAUGGCUAUUAGCAGUUGUCUUUUAUAUUGAGGUGCUCAUAUGUUGGAUGCAUAUGUAUUUACAAGUGUUAUAUCUUCUUGGAUUGAUCUUUUGAUCAUUGUGUAAUGUCCUUUCCCUCUUCUAAUGUUCUUUAUUUUAAAGUCUAUUUUGUCUGAUAUGAGUGUUGCUACUCCAGCUUUCUUUUGUUCUGUUUGCAUGGAAUAACUUUGCCAUCCUCUCACUUUCACUCUGUAUGUGUCUCUAGAAUUGAAGGGGAUCUCUGGUAGACAGUGUACAGAUGGGCCUUGUUUUUGUAUCCAUUCAGCUAGUCUCUAUCUUUUGGUUGGAGCAUUUCGGCCAUUUACAUUUAAGAUUUUUUUUUUUUUAAGGGCCACCUGCAGCAUAUGGAAGGUCCCAGGCUAGUUGUUGAAUCAGAGUUGUAGCCACCCACAGCCACAGCAACGCCAGAUCUGAAUGAUAUCUGCAACCUACACAGCUCACUGCAAUGCCGGAUCCUUAACCCACUGAGUGAGGCCAGGAAUUGAACCUGUGUCCUCAUAGAUUCCACUGAGCCAUGAUGGAAACCCCAGUAAUUAUUGAUAAUGUAUGUUAUUAUUGCCAUUUUAAUUGUUUUGGAUUUGGUUUUGUUGGUCUUUUUUUUCCCCUUUUGUUCUCUUGUGGUUUGCCUCUCUUUAGUGUUGUGCUUGGAUUGUUUUUUCAUAUAUGUAUGUAUAUCUAUUGUAGAUUCUUGGUUUGUGAUUAUCAUGAGGUUUUGAUAUAGGAGUCUCUAUAUAUACCUACAAGAUUGUUUUAAAUUGCUGAUUUCUUAAUUGCAGAUGUACGUCCAGUAUCCUACAGUUGUACCCUCCUCUUCUAAGGAUUGCUAGUUUUGAUACCAUAUUUGUGUUAAGAUAAUUUCCUACCUUUACUAUAUGUUUGCUUUUACCAGUAAGCCUUCUGAUUUGUAAUUUUGUUUCUUGUUGUGGCCUUUUAUUUUCUGCCUAGAUAAGUUUCUUUAGUAUUUGUUGUAAAACUGUUUGGUGGUACUGAAUUCUCUUAGCUUUUGCUUGUCUGUAAAGCUUUUGAUUUUUCCUUCAAAUCUGAAUGAGAGCCUUGCUGGGUAGAGUAUUUUUAGUUGCAGGUUUUUUCCCUUUUAUCACUUUAAGCAUAUCAUUCCACACCCUUCUGGCCUGUAGAUUUGCUGAAAAAUUAGCUGAUAACCUUAUUGGAGUUCCCUUGUAAGUUAUUAGCUGCUUUUCCCUAGCAGUUUUCAGUAUUUUCUCUUUGUCUUUAAUUUUGGUCCAUUUGAUUAAUAUGUGCUUAGAGUGUUACUCCUUGGGUUUAUUCUAUAUGGUAUUUGUUGUGUUUUCUGGACUUGAGUGAGUGAUUUCUUUCCCAUGUUAAGAAAGUUUUCAGCUAAUAUCUCUUCCAGUGUUUUCUCUGGCCCUUUCUUCUCUUUCUGGUACCUCUAUAACAUGAAUGUUGGUGAGUUUAAUGUUGUCUCAGAGUUCUCUUAGGCUGUCCUCAUUUAUUUUCAUUCUUUAUUCUGUUCUGGCAGUGAUUUCUAACAGUCUGUCUUUCACCUUGCUUAUUCAUUCUCCUACCUCUGUGUUCUGUUGGUUCCUUCUAGUGAAUUUUUCAUUUUGGUUAUUUUGGUGUUCAUCUCUGCUUG